RNAcentral lists this long non-coding RNA (264 nucleotides) under Musa acuminata (dwarf banana). RNAcentral's name for it is "long non-coding RNA (MACU_LNC007910)". The record is from RNAcentral. Lineage: Eukaryota; Viridiplantae; Streptophyta; Magnoliopsida; Zingiberales; Musaceae.
UUUUCACUUGUGAUAGCAAAGGUUCAAAGAUAAAAUUGAUUAUAUAGGGCCAGAAGUUUCAUGCAACGAUUACUACACUGAAAGAUCGACCUGUUGCUUACACUCUCAAAAAGUGGAGACCAUACUUACUUGAUCAACAGGUUGUGAUGCGUUGCAGAUAGUCUAUGGCUAAAGUGCUGAAAGAGAAGCUCCCCGAGAUUGAUGCUGCUCAGCCUCGAGGACAAGGCUGAUUUGAAGAGGGAGGAACUGUUAGGAACCUUUUUC